CCUACGGGAGGCUGCAGUGAGGAAUAUUGGUCAAUGGACGCAAGUCUGAACCAGCCAUGCCGCGUGCAGGAAGACGGCUCUAUGAGUUGUAAACUGCUUUUGUACGAGGGUAAACGCAGAUACGCGUAUCUGUCUGAAAGUAUCGUACGAAUAAGGAUCGGCUAACUCCGUGCCAGCAGCCGCGGUAAUACGGAGGAUUCAAGCGUUAUCCGGAUUUAUUGGGGUUAAAGGGUGCGUAGGCGGUUGGAUAAGUUAGAGGUGAAAUCUCGAGGCUCAACUUCAGAAUUGCCACUGAUACUGUGCGGCUAGAGUGUAGUUGCGGUAGGCGGAAUUUAUGGUGUAGCGGUGAAAUGCUUAGAGAUCACACAGAACACCGAUUGCGAAGGCAGCUUACCAAGCUGCCACUGACGUUGAGGCACGAAAGCGUGGGGAGCAAACAGGAUUAGAUACCCUAGUAGUC
This 460-nucleotide ribosomal RNA is filed under the name uncultured bacterium. Its description in RNAcentral is "partial 16S ribosomal RNA". It matches the Rfam family "Bacterial small subunit ribosomal RNA", at positions 338 to 795 of the family's 1533-position model. The record is from RNAcentral.